This 490-nucleotide ribosomal RNA is filed under the name uncultured bacterium. Its description in RNAcentral is "partial 16S ribosomal RNA". It matches the Rfam family "Bacterial small subunit ribosomal RNA", at positions 29 to 507 of the family's 1533-position model. The record is from RNAcentral.
AGUGAACGCUGGCGGUAGGCCUAACACAUGCAAGUCGAACGGCAGCACAGGAGAGCUUGCUCUCUGGGUGGCGAGUGGCGGACGGGUGAGGAAUACAUCGGAAUCUGCCCAGUCGUGGGGGAUAACGUAGGGAAACUUACGCUAAUACCGCAUACGACCUUCGGGUGAAAGAGGGGGAUCGCAAGACCUCUCGCGAUUGGAUGAGCCGAUGUCGGAUUAGCUAGUUGGCGGGGUAAUGGCCCACCAAGGCGACGAUCCGUAGCUGGUCUGAGAGGAUGAUCAGCCACACUGGAACUGAGACACGGUCCAGACUCCUACGGGAGGCGGCAGUGGGGAAUAUUGGACAAUGGGCGCAAGCCUGAUCCAGCCAUACCGCGUGGGUGAAGAAGGCCUUCGGGUUGUAAAGCCCUUUUGUUGGGAAAGAAAUCUUUCAGGCUAAUACCCUGGGAGGAUGACGGUACCCAAAGAAUAAGCACCGGCUAACUUCGUG